UUUACAGCUUGGCAAUCCAACGGUUCAAUCAAAAGAUACGCGAAGAGCAAGAUGUCCCGUAAACCAGCCGGCGAGCGUUUCCACCCGCGGCCAACAGCGCAAUCCUCGCGGUCAGAAGCACCGUGACCGCGGCCAGCAAGCCAUUCCCUGCGGUCACAGCCAUCCCGACCGUGGCCAGCCAACUCCAACUUUGAAGGCAUAUUUCUGAAGCCCGUAUCACUUUCCCAGCCUCAAUUCCGGAACCCUAGACACCAGAGAGUAUUGGAG
RNAcentral lists this long non-coding RNA (267 nucleotides) under Eutrema salsugineum. RNAcentral's name for it is "long non-coding RNA (ESAL_LNC000784)". The record is from RNAcentral. Lineage: Eukaryota; Viridiplantae; Streptophyta; Magnoliopsida; Brassicales; Brassicaceae.